ACAGCUCCCAUAAGCUAGCCAACACCAAAAAACAACAAUCAAAAUUAAUAACCCCACAAACACAAAUUAGUAAACAACAAAACAUUUUUCCUCCUUAGUAUGGGCGACAGAAAAG
RNAcentral lists this ribosomal RNA (115 nucleotides) under Tridentiger barbatus (Shokihaze gobi). Its description in RNAcentral is "partial 16S ribosomal RNA". Lineage: Eukaryota; Metazoa; Chordata; Actinopteri; Gobiiformes; Gobiidae. The record is from RNAcentral.